UGGGUACUAGGUGUAGGAGGUAUCGACCCCUUCUGUGCCGGAGUUAACGCAAUAAGUACCCCGCCUGGGGAGUACGACCGCAAGGUUGAAACUCAAAGGAAUUGACGGGGGCCCGCACAAGCGGUGGAGUAUGUGGUUUAAUUCGACGCAACGCGAAGAACCUUACCAGGUCUUGACAUUGAUGGACAGAACUAGAGAUAGUUCCUCUUCUUCGGAAGCCAGAAAACAGGUGGUGCAUGGCUGUCGUCAG
This 250-nucleotide ribosomal RNA is filed under the name uncultured bacterium. RNAcentral describes it as "partial 16S ribosomal RNA". It matches the Rfam family "Bacterial small subunit ribosomal RNA", at positions 810 to 1058 of the family's 1533-position model. The record is from RNAcentral.